UAGCUAAAGAAAGUAAGAAAAAAAGCAGACUGUUAUGGCUGAAUGUAAGGAGGAGGGACAUUUCGUAUGGUUUGAGUGUUGUUUCAGAAGGUUUCAUUUGUAGCUACAAUGGAGGGUUUUAGUGUUUCAGGGCCAUUGAAAAACACUAAACCAGUAAAUGUAUCUAAGAUAUCGUAGUUUGUGGUUCGUGUAACAUGAAAAAUAGUUGCUUUUGGUUCAGCCAA
Hibiscus syriacus is the source of this 224-nucleotide long non-coding RNA. RefSeq lists it as uncharacterized. Lineage: Eukaryota; Viridiplantae; Streptophyta; Magnoliopsida; Malvales; Malvaceae. The transcript has 3 exons. The record is from RefSeq and is a predicted model, not a curated record.